Grammomys surdaster is the source of this 138-nucleotide small nucleolar RNA. RefSeq annotates it as small nucleolar RNA SNORA48. The transcript has a single exon. The record is from RefSeq and is a predicted model, not a curated record. NCBI's taxonomy places the organism in Eukaryota, Metazoa, Chordata, Mammalia, Rodentia, Muridae.
AAUCCCUGGCAGUAGACAAAGAGACACUUAUUUGUUGGUGUUCUUACAGUCAGGGGCAGAGCAGAUGGCAGUCCUUUGUUCAUUUUAGCUUGAUGCCUGGCUUGGAAGCCAAAGCUGUUUCAUACCUGGGACACAUAA